UAAAAUUAUUUUACAUAAUAUAUUAGAAAUGAAAUUUUAUUCGUUUUUAAAGGUAUCUAGUUCUUUAAGAAAUAAAUUUAAUUUAUAAAUUUUUUAUUAUUUAAUUUUUUAUAUUAAUUAAAUAAAUAUUUAAUUUAAAUAUUUUAUAGGAUAAGCUAUAAAAUAAAUUUUUAAAAAUUAUUAAUUUUAAUAAAUAAAUAUAAACUUAUAAAUAGUUAUUAUUAAUAAAAAUGUUAUAAUUUAUUUAAUUUAUAUAUGUAAUAUAUAUAUAUAUAUAUUUAUUAUUUAUUAUUUAUUUUAAAAUUUUAUUAAAGUAUUUAUUUUAAUUUAAAAAAUAAAAAAAUAAUGAUAAAAUUAGUAUAUAUUAAUUGUAUAAAUAAUUAUAAUUGAUAGGUUUUUAUAAAGAAUUUGGCAAAAUAAUAAUAUUCGCCUGUUUAACAAAAACAUGUCUUUUUGUUUUUUUUAAAAAGUCUAACCUGCCCAAUGAGUAAUAAUUUAAAUGGCUGCAGUAUUUUGACUGUACAAAGGUAGCAUAAUCAUUAGUCUUUUAAUUGAAGGCUGGAAUGAAUGGUUGGACGAAAUAUUAACUGUUUCAUUAAAAUUUAUAUUAGAAUUUUAUUUUUUAGUUAAAAAGCUAAAAUAUAAUUAAAAGACGAGAAGACCCUAUAAAUCUUUAUAUUUAUAUUAUAAUUAAUUUAUAGUUUUUUUUAUUAUAAUAAAUAGUAUUUUGUUGGGGUGAUGUUAAAAUUUAAUAAACUUUUAAUUUAUUAUAUCAUUAAUAUAUGAAUAAUUGAUCUGUUAUUAACGAUUAAAAAAAUAAGUUACUUUAGGGAUAACAGCGUAAUUUUUUUGGAGAGUUCAUAUUAAUAAAAAAUAUUGCGACCUCGAUGUUGGAUUAAGAUAUAAUUUUAGGUGUAGUUGCUUAAAUUUUAAGUCUGU
RNAcentral lists this ribosomal RNA (939 nucleotides) under Bessa parallela. RNAcentral's name for it is "partial 16S rRNA". The record is from RNAcentral. Lineage: Eukaryota; Metazoa; Arthropoda; Insecta; Diptera; Tachinidae.